Molecule: ribosomal RNA, 468 nt
Filed under: uncultured bacterium
Lineage: Bacteria
Description: partial 16S ribosomal RNA
Rfam family: Bacterial small subunit ribosomal RNA
Source: RNAcentral
GACGAACGCUGGCGGCGUGCUUAACACAUGCAAGUCGAACGGAAAGGCCCUGCUUUUGUGGGGUGCUCGAGUGGCGAACGGGUGAGUAACACGUGAGUAACCUGCCCUUGACUUUGGGAUAACUUCAGGAAACUGGGGCUAAUACCGGCUAGGAGCUCCUGCUGCAUGGUGGGGGUUGGAAAGUUUCGGCGGUUGGGGAUGGACUCGCGGCUUAUCAGCUUGUUGGUGGGGUAGUGGCUUACCAAGGCUUUGACGGGUAGCCGGCCUGCGAGGGUGACCGGCCACAUUGGGACUGAGAUACGGCCCAGACUCCUACGGGAGGCAGCAGUGGGGAAUAUUGCACAAUGGGCGGAAGCCUGAUGCAGCAACGCCGCGUGCGGGAUGACGGCCUUCGGGUUGUAAACCGCUUUCGCCUGUGACGAAGCGUGAGUGACGGUAAUGGGUAAAGAAGCACCGGCUAACUACGUG